Molecule: ribosomal RNA, 254 nt
Filed under: uncultured bacterium
Lineage: Bacteria
Description: partial 16S ribosomal RNA
Rfam family: Bacterial small subunit ribosomal RNA
Source: RNAcentral
UACAGGGGGUGCAAACGUUGCUCGGAAUCAUUGGGCGUAAAGCGCACGUAGGCGGUUCGUCGCGUCGGCUGUGAAAUCCCGAGGCUCAACCUCGGGUCUGCAGUCGAUACGGGGCGGACUGGAGUUCGGCAGGGGAGACUGGAAUUCCUGGUGUAGCGGUGAAAUGCGCAGAUAUCAGGAGGAACACCGGUGGCGAAGGCGGGUCUCUGGGCAGUAACUGACGCUGAGGAGCGAAAGCGUGGGGAGCGAACAGG